AGUGAACGCUGGCGGUAGGCCUAACACAUGCAAGUCAAACGGCAGCACAGUAAGAGCUUGCUCUUACGGGUGGCGAGUGGCGGACGGGUGAGGAAUACAUCGGAAUCUACUUUUUCGUGGGGGAUAACGUAGGGAAACUUACGCUAAUACCGCAUACGACCUACGGGUGAAAGCAGGGGAUCUUCAGACCUUGCGCGAUUGAAUGAGCCGAUGUCGGAUUAGCUAGUUGGCGGGGUAAAGGCCCACCAAGGCGACGAUCCGUAGCUGGUCUGAGAGGAUGAUCAGCCACACUGGAACUGAGACACGGUCCAGACUCCUACGGGAGGCAGCAGUGGGGAAUAUUGGACAAUGGGCGCAAGCCUGAUCCAGCCAUACCGCGUGGGUGAAGAAGGCCUUCGGGUUGUAAAGCCCUUUUGUUGGGAAAGAAAAGCAGCAGGUUAAUACCCCGCUGUUCUGACGGUACCCAAAGAAUAAGCACCGGCUAACUUCGUG
This 492-nucleotide ribosomal RNA is filed under the name uncultured bacterium. RNAcentral's name for it is "partial 16S ribosomal RNA". It matches the Rfam family "Bacterial small subunit ribosomal RNA", at positions 29 to 507 of the family's 1533-position model. The record is from RNAcentral.